GACGAACGCUGGCGGCGUGCCUAACACAUGCAAGUUGAGCGACGAACCAGGGCUUGCCCUGGGGCAAAGCAGCGAACGGGUGAGUAACACGUGGGUAACCUACCCCGAUAACCGGGACAACCCGAGGAAACUCGGGCUAAUACCGGAUGUGCUCACUGGACUUCGGUUCAGUGCGUAAAGGAAGCUUCGGCCUCCGUAUCGGGAGGGGCCCGCGGCCCAUUAGUUAGUUGGUGAGGUAACGGCUCACCAAGACCGCGAUGGGUAGCUGGUCUGAGAGGACGAUCAGCCACACUGGGACUGAGACACGGCCCAGACUCCUACGGGAGGCAGCAGUGGGGAAUCUUGCGCAAUGCGCGAAAGCGUGACGCAGCAACGCCGCGUGGGGGAAGAAGGCCUUCGGGUUGUAAACCCCUUUCAGGAGGGACGAAGGUUCGGCGGUGAAUAGCCGUCCGGACUGACGGUACCUGCACAAGAAGCCCCGGCUAACUACGUGCCAGCAGCCGCCGCGG
This 509-nucleotide ribosomal RNA is filed under the name uncultured bacterium. RNAcentral describes it as "partial 16S ribosomal RNA". It matches the Rfam family "Bacterial small subunit ribosomal RNA", at positions 28 to 523 of the family's 1533-position model. The record is from RNAcentral.